RNAcentral lists this ribosomal RNA (162 nucleotides) under uncultured bacterium. RNAcentral's name for it is "partial 16S ribosomal RNA". It matches the Rfam family "Bacterial small subunit ribosomal RNA", at positions 355 to 509 of the family's 1533-position model. The record is from RNAcentral.
UGGGGAAUAUUGCGCAAUGGGCGAAAGCCUGACGCAGCAACGCCGCGUGAGGGAUGAAGGUCUUCGGAUCGUAAACCUCUGUCAGCAGGGAAGAACGGUCACUGUGCUAAUCAGCAGUGAAUUGACGGUACCUGCAAAGGAAGCACCGGCUAACUCCGUGCC